Molecule: ribosomal RNA, 192 nt
Filed under: Salmonella enterica subsp. enterica serovar Thompson
Lineage: Bacteria; Pseudomonadati; Pseudomonadota; Gammaproteobacteria; Enterobacterales; Enterobacteriaceae
Also listed under: 1 other name
Description: partial 16S ribosomal RNA
Rfam family: Bacterial small subunit ribosomal RNA
Source: RNAcentral
AAAUUGAAGAGUUUGAUCAUGGCUCAGAUUGAACGCUGGCGGCAGGCCUAACACAUGCAAGUCGAACGGUAACAGGAAGCAGCUUGCUGCUUCGCUGACGAGUGGCGGACGGGUGAGUAAUGUCUGGGAAGCUGCCUGAUGGAGGGGGAUAACUACUGGAAACGGUGGCUAAUACCGCAUAACGUCGCAAGA